Molecule: long non-coding RNA, 2778 nt
Filed under: Sus scrofa (pig)
Lineage: Eukaryota; Metazoa; Chordata; Mammalia; Artiodactyla; Suidae
Description: lncRNA (ENSSSCG00065004596.1)
Source: RNAcentral
CCAGGGAGCCAGCCGUGUGAGGGGGUUCCAGCGUGGAGCUGUGGCUGAGACUGGGGCAGGAAAGCAGGGACCAAAGGUGGGUCACGGUUGAUGAGUCCAUGACACGCCCCUUCCUCCGUUGAUAAACUGUGAAAUCCAUUUGUCCUUGGCCAGGAUGAACUCAGUGAGGCGAUGGCUGUCAUUUCUGGGCAGAGUGGCUGGAGGAGGGGGAGGGAGGCUCCUUUCUAAGGCCCGUAUUCUGGCCUGUCUCCCACUCCACAACCCUGGGAGUUUGCUUGUCUUUCUGCCUUUUUCUUUCCUGGGGAGCAAAUGGAAAUAAUUUCCUUUGAAACGUGACAUUUCCUAAUCCGGCGCCCGGCCUGGCUGACAGCAGGAUUAGUGUGCUCAGGCUGCCAGGCCUGGCUGGCCAUAUGCACACGCCUUUCUCCCCAGGGGCCGCAGUGGCCAGCGCCAGCCCCCUCGCUGGCUCUUCUCCCACCCAGUCUGGUCUCAGCUGCCUCCUCCCCUGCACAUCAGAAACUGGUGCCCUCGAAGCUUAUUCAAGCUCUGCCUGAUUGUGUGUGUGUGUGUGUGUGUGUGUGUGUGUUGAGGGUGCGGUACGGGGAGGUCCCCCAUCAGAAGCUGUUAGUCUUGUCACCUGAAAGGAAGGAGAGGCUUCCUGGAGAAGGGGGUUUGGGUCCAGGCUCUGCAUGACCCGCUCUGUGACCUCGGGCUGUUCAGUCCCCUCUCUGGGCUGUCUUUGAAAUGAGAGUCUGAUGGAGUAUUGCCUUUGAUUGUUUCUACCCAUUCCACUUCCAACAGUCUCUGUCCUCUAGUCUUUGUCAAAACUCUGUGGUUGACAAGGGCCAACAAAAUAAAAGCAGUAGUAAUUCCACGUGAGGCAUCACCAAGGGCAGGAGCUGGCUCUGCUCUCACCUCUCUGCUCCUGUCUCCUAAGCUGCCAGGGACUAUGGCUUUGCACAUGCAGUCUCUCCAUCAGGGUGCCUGGCCGCAGCCCCUCAACCUCUCUUCCCUCCGGGAGCCGUGCGCACUAGGAUGCAGGAUGUCAAACUUCAUGACGACCUGACGAGCGGACAGCCUUCCUCUGCUUCAAGAUGAAGAACUGGAGGAUCAGAGGCUAAGAGAUUUGCUCAAGUGAUUAAUUCAAGCAAAUUUGAAUCAUCUCAACUCCAAAUCCCUGCCCCCCCUCAGCUUGCCUGUCAUGUGUCACAUGUCACAUAUGAGCUAGUUUCCCUACCUUAUACCCCUUGCCAAGUUCGUGAAUGAGAGUUGGGCGACUUUGGCUGAGCGUGUAGUUUUUAUCUCGUAUACAGUAGGGGUUGAGGCACUAUCUCAGGCGGGGGUGUUUGGCCCCUCCACUCUAUAUUCUGGACCAGGUAUUGCGACCUCAGAUUGUGACACCUUUGGUUCAGCUCCAUCCCGAGAUGCACUCUCCCACCGCCAGUGCCUGCGGGUUCCAGUCUCCUCCAGACAUCGUUUCCAAGACUGGGUGUUAUCUAGUUUUCUAAUCCCUAGAGCACAGGCCGGGAGGCGGGGCCCACCAGCCGGAGUGAGGGGUGGUCCACUGGGAACGCCCAUCCCCUCUCCCGCUGCGGAUGUUUACCUGACCUGCUUCUUUUGAGCCCAGGGGGCCUUGUCCGGCUCUCCACUAGGGUCUCCUUCUCACUUUAUCAUCCUGCUUGUCCUUCCUUCGCUGUGUCUUCGGUGUCUCUUUCUUGGUGUCUCUCCCCCUCCCAUUCCUCUCUCCCCGGCUUGCCCUCCCCAUCGAUUUCCAGACCUCUGCAUUAGCAUUCACAACCUCCGGCACCAGCCACUUAGGCCAGAAAGACAGCUCCUUGGAAACACAAUUGAAAUAUUUUUAUAAAUGACCAGCGGAGUUUGAGUGACAUGCCCUUCUUAGGCUAAAUAAAAUUAAAGUUAAACCUUCUAAAAAAUACAUGAGCCAAACAUCCUCUGCACAUUUCAUUAUGCAAAUGCAGCUGUCCAGCGUUGCACAAAUUAGCCCUCCUUUUGAAAUUCGCUGCUGCCUCUUCCCUUCCCUUUGCUUUCCUCUCUUUUUCUUCCUCUGGGUUUUGAGUGAAAAGGCUUUGUGAUUUUAGGCCGACAGCUGGAGUCUGGGGGAGAGGCAGGAGGCUGGAGCGUGGGAUGGCCAGCCUACUCCUGGUUUCCUCUCUGUCCCCUUUGUCCCCUCUUUCCCCUUUUCUGGGGGCUAAGGUGGUGAGAAAACAAUGAGGGCUUGAUGACUCCUCAGCCUCUCUUUCAAACUGUUUUGCAGGGUCCGGCCAGGAGAGGUCAGUCUGGGGUUGGGAAUGGGGCUCCCCGAAGUCGGGGCGCUCAGCAGUCUCUUAGUCUGGGGGCUGUGGAAGCCUGCAGCUCAAGGGAGGGACUGACUGGUGGACGACAGACACUCUCCCUCACCAGGUCCAGGAACUCCUUCCCCAGGGCCUCGGCAUAAUAAAGUGUGUCUUUUCUCAUCUCCUGAAUCCUGGAUGAAAACUGGAAAAUCUGAGCAGUGUUCAAGAUGUGGCAUCUCCUCUGUGUCCAUUCCCGUCGUGGCGCAGUGGUUAACGGAUCUGACUAGGAACCAUGAGGUUGCGGGUUCGGUCCCUGCCCUUGCUCAAUGGGUUAACGAUCCUGCGUUGCCGUGAGCUGUGGUAUAGGUUGCAGACACGGCUUGGAUCCCGCGUUGCUGUGGCUCUGGCCUGGGCCAAUGGCUACAGCUCCGAUUGGACCCCUAGCCUGGGAACCUCCAUAUACCGCGGGAGCGGCCCAAGAAAU